UCAAAGGAUUUUCUAAAAUCCACAAAAUAACAUAUGAGAUUUUCCU
This is a non-coding RNA of Picea glauca (white spruce), 46 nucleotides long. Lineage: Eukaryota; Viridiplantae; Streptophyta; Pinopsida; Pinales; Pinaceae. The record is from Rfam.